Molecule: unclassified non-coding RNA, 282 nt
Filed under: Hevea brasiliensis (rubber tree)
Lineage: Eukaryota; Viridiplantae; Streptophyta; Magnoliopsida; Malpighiales; Euphorbiaceae
Source: RNAcentral
AAAAAAAAAGGAAAAAAAAAAAAGGUUGUUGAUGGUUGUAGCUUAAGAAAUGAACAAUUUGGAUUUGGGAUGCUGCUGUAUUUUGUCCCUAUAGAAAGAUCAAUGCUUAGAAGUUAAAGUUGUAUUCGGCUUGAAUUGUAUAGAGAGGUUAAUUCAGUUCCUGGUCUUGGAAUGCUGCAAGUCUUUGACAGUUGUAUUGGUAUUAUAAAACUUUUUCUUCCUUGAAACUCAAUUUUUUGGAAUCAUUUUAUAUAAGAGCACACUUAAUUAAUUCUGACUUGA